This 945-nucleotide ribosomal RNA is filed under the name Triticum aestivum (bread wheat). Its description in RNAcentral is "partial small subunit ribosomal RNA". Lineage: Eukaryota; Viridiplantae; Streptophyta; Magnoliopsida; Poales; Poaceae. The record is from RNAcentral.
AUGGCAGAGGAGAUUGCUGCCCUUGAGCGCACCAGCACAUGGGAUCUAGUUUCUCUUCCUCCCCGUGUUCGUCCCAUCAGUUGUAAGUGGGUAUAUAAUGUUAAGACUCGCUCUGAUGGUUCUCUUGAGCAUUAUAAAGCUCAUCUUGUGGCUCGUGGCUUUCAGCAGGAGCAUGGUCGUGAUUACGAUGAGAUGUUUGCUUCUGUGGCCCAUAUGACCACUAUUCGCACCCUUCUUGUUGUGGCCUCUGUUCGCCAUUGGUCCGUGUCCCAACUUGAUGUUAAGAAUGCCUUUCUUAAUGGUGAGUUGCGUGAGGAAGUUUAUAUGCAGCCACCACCUGGGUAUUCAGUUCCCGAUGGCAUGGUUUGUCGUCUUCGUCGCUCUCUCUAUGGCCUUAAGCAAGCCCCCCGUGCUUGGUUUGAGCGUUUUGCCUCUGUGGUCACUUCAGCUGGUUUUUUGCCCAGUGCUCAUGAUCCAGCGCUAUUUGUCCAUCUUUCUGCUCGUGGUCGCACUCUUCUUCUUCUAUAUGUUGAUGACAUGAUCAUCACUGGCGACGAUUCUGAGUACAUUGCCUUUGUCAAGGCCCGUCUCAGUGAGCAGUUUCUUAUGUCUAAUCUUGGUCCUCUUCGUUAUUUUCUCGGGAUUGAGGUAUCCUCCACCUCUAAUGGUUUCUUUAUUUCCCAAGAGAAGUAUAUCCGGCAUCUUCUUGCUCGUGCGACUCUUAGUGAUGAGCGCACUGUUGAUACUCCUAUGGAGCUCAAUGUUAACCUUCGCGCUUCUGAUGGUGAGCUCUUGUCAGAUCCGACGCGUUACCGUCAUCUUGUUGGAAGUCUUGUCUAUCUUGCUGUCACUCGUCCAGAUAUCUCUUAUCCUGUUCAUAUUCUGAGUCAGUUUGUUUCCGCUCCCACUUCAGUUCACUAUAGUCACCUUCUUUGUGUUCUAUGA